RNAcentral lists this ribosomal RNA (405 nucleotides) under uncultured microorganism. Its description in RNAcentral is "bacterial SSU rRNA". It matches the Rfam family "Archaeal small subunit ribosomal RNA", at positions 330 to 735 of the family's 1478-position model. The record is from RNAcentral.
GUGCAGCAGGCGCGAAACCUCACACUGUGCGAAAGCACGAUGAGGGAAUCCCAAGUGCUUGCACGUAAGUGUAAGCUGUUUCUCUGUCUAAAACGCAGAGAGAGUAAGGGCUGGGUAAGACGGGUGCCAGCCGCCGCGGUAACACCGGCGGCCCGACUGGUGACCACUACUACUGGGCCUAAAGCGUCCGUAACCGGACCUGUAAAUCCUUAGUGAAAUCCGCCGGCUCAACCGGCGGGCGUGCUUAGGAGACUGCAGGUCUUGGGGACCGGGAGGGGGUGGGGGUACUGCCCGGGUAGGGGUAAAAUCCUAUAAUGCGGGUAGGACCACCGGUAGCGAAGGCGCCCACCUGGAACGGGUCCGACGGCGAGGGACGAAGGCCAGGGGAGCGAACGGGAUUAGAUA